UGACUUCAUUUCCAUUCAUCACAUCCACUUCAGGCUUAAAUGAUUUAAGGUUCCUUCCUUCCUUCCUUCCUUCCUUCCUUCCUUCCUUCCUUCCUUCCUUCCUUCCUUCCUUCCUUCCUUCCUUCCUUCCUUCCUUCCUUCCUUCCUUCCUUCCUUCCUUCCUUCCUUCCUUCCUUCCUUCCUUUCUUUCUCUCUCUUUCUCUCUCUUUCUCUCUCUCUUUCUUUCUUUCUUUCUUUCUUUCUCUUUCUUUCUCUCUCUUUU
Molecule: long non-coding RNA, 262 nt
Filed under: Monodelphis domestica (gray short-tailed opossum)
Lineage: Eukaryota; Metazoa; Chordata; Mammalia; Didelphimorphia; Didelphidae
Description: lncRNA (ENSMODG00000049555.1)
Source: RNAcentral